ACGCAGCAGGCACGGCACAGAAAGAGUUGCUCCUCGUCCAACACCGGAUCACAUCUUCCAUCGUGCGUUUUUGUCGGCCGGUUUGGGGCCGCUUAUUCCGUCCAUCUCUCCUCCUCGUUUCCGCGCAGCUUUGCGUGUGCGCGGCACCAUGCAAGCAUCUGUCGCGAGCGAGAUCGUCAAGGCCGUCCAUAAGGCCCGCAACUGCGCCCUCUACUGCGACUACAAAACCGCCCUUCAGUACUACAGCAGCAUUCGAAAUGAGAUCAACUUGCACACCCGAAGCAUCGACGACGUUCUCUGUAGCCAGUGGAUGAGUCUGCUAGGGGAACUGGAGAGCGAGGCGCAGAUCAUCCGCGAUACGCAGGCGGAGUUGCAUUUGUUCAUUGACCCUAACGCUGCCAAGCGGCGCGAGCCGCCUGACUGCGAUGAGAAUCGCAGCAGUAGCAGCGCCGAGAAAGCUGUCGUGCCGAGGACAGGGGCCAAAAAGAAGCCACGAAUCGGAGCCUCGCUCGCGAACAGCGGCGGGUCCAACAUCAGCGUACAGAACGCGAAGCUCUACGGCGACAAGGACCGCUUCGGCCCGGCAGAGGGCCCGCAGAUCCCACCAGCUACGCGUCAGCCAGCGCGCAGCGCGGCCUCCUCCUACGCAGCGGUGUCGCCACCCUUCUCGAGCAGCGGGGUCGGCGUUGGUAGACCCGUGGCUGCGGCGCCCGGUGUUGGCUUCCGUCAAGGUACUGGCGCGUCGAGUGGUACGGGGGCCGCUGCAAGGGGGAGAGUGAAGGGUAAGAGUGCAGCGACCCGCUUUGCCGGCCGGGCUGGGGAGGAGGAACUUGUUCAGCUCAUCGAGGCCGACAUGCACGUCGGCAAGCUGCCGGUCACGUGGGAUGAUAUCGCGGGCCUCGAGGAGGCGAAGCGACUGCUGGAGGAAGCGGUGGUGUACCCGGUGCUCAUGCCCGAUUACUACCAAGGCAUCCGCCGGCCGUGGAAAGGCGUGCUCAUGUACGGUCCGCCGGGCACCGGCAAGACAAUGCUUGCCAAGGCGGUCGCCUCAGAGUGCAACACCACAUUCUUCAAUAUAUCCCCCGCGACGCUCACGAGCAAGUGGCGCGGCGAUAGCGAGAAGCUUAUCCGGGUGCUUUUCGAGAUGGCGCGCCACUACGCCCCGAGCACGAUCUUCAUCGACGAGAUCGACUCCCUGUGCGGGCAGCGAGGCGGCGGCAACGAGCACGAGGCCUCGCGACGGGCAAAGGGCACGCUGCUGGCGCAGAUGGACGGUGUCGGGGUGGACACCGACAAGAUCGUCAUGGUGCUCGGCGCGACGAAUCACCCGUGGGACAUCGAUGAAGCGAUGCGCCGCCGCCUUGAAAAGCGCAUCUACAUACCCCUGCCCGAUGCGGCGGACCGCGUGGAGCUGUUCAAGAUCAACACAAAGUCUAUCAAGCUGGGCAAUGAUGUCGACUUUGUGAAGCUGUCCCAAUUGCUAGAGGGUCGCCACUACAGCGGCGCCGACAUCACGAACCUGGUGCGAGAUGCGGCUAUGAUGACUAUGCGGCGCUUCAUGAAGGAGGCGGACAAGACAACGUUGAAGGAAAACGCGGCGGAGAUUGGCCGGCAGGUGGCGGAGCAGCCCAUCAAUAUGAGUGACUUUCUGGCCGCCAUGAAGAAGGUCCCGAGCAGCAUCAACGCCGACAACAUCAAGAAGUUCGAAGCGUGGAAGAAGGAAUUUGAACUGAACAUUUAGAAGCCAGGGCGGUAAACGUAGGUGCACGCUUUCUUCUGCGGUCGUUUUGGUUGUGGCUCAGUGUCGCCUCACUCAUCUGCUCAUGUCCUCCCUCCCUCCUUCCCUUCCCUCCCCUUCCCACGCAGAUGCCGAUGAGAGACACGGUCGAAGGUGUUGAAACGCGUCCUGCCGGGACUAGGGUGGAGGCGAAAUGGGCGAGGAGGGAGGGGGAGGGCUAACGGGGACUGCAGGUGUCAUGGCGGACUGGUAGAGGUGCAGAUGGGUGGAUGUGUAUGUGUGCCUUUGCUUGGCAUUCCUCCACCCUUCAAUCGCUCUUCUCCCCCCCUAGCCGUCUGUCAACUUGCGUGAUUCCUUGUCCUAUGUAUGGUGCUUUUUUUUUACCUCUGUUUUCCUGUGGCGCGUGCGCGUUUACCGGGCUAGAAGUUGAGUCUGUGUUUUCUACAUGUGCGCGCUUGUGGGUUCGAGGCGCACACAGCGAAAGAGGCAAGGAGCGCGCACUGGGGCGAAGGGUGCGGCCGCAGCGUGUGCUGUCUGGUGCUUCGACUUGCGGCUUCUCGCAAAUACUGCGUGCGUGUGCGUGGUGCCUGCACCUCUUUCCAUCUCGCGCAGCAAGGAUCUGCCGUGGCUUGCGUUCUGCGCACGUGCCGUGCAUGAGCUUUAUGAGGAAG
Molecule: unclassified non-coding RNA, 2409 nt
Filed under: Leishmania donovani
Lineage: Eukaryota; Euglenozoa; Kinetoplastea; Trypanosomatida; Trypanosomatidae
Description: gene:LdHU3.28.0510(CDS-product:katanin_putative)
Source: RNAcentral